AUUGAACGCUGGCGGCAUGCUUUACACAUGCAAGUCGAACGGUAACAGGCCUUCGGGUGCUGACGAGUGGCGAACGGGUGAGUAAUGCAUCGGAACGUACCCAGAGGUGGGGGUUAACGCAGCGAAAGCUGUGCUAAUACCGCAUGUGAUCUGAGGAUGAAAGCGGGGGACCGAGCAGCAAUGUUUGGCCUCGCGCCUUUGGAGCGGCCGAUGUCGGAUUAGCUAGUUGGUGGGGUAAAGGCCUACCAAGGCGACGAUCCGUAGCUGGUCUGAGAGGACGACCAGCCACACUGGGACUGAGACACGGCCAAGACUCCUACGGGAGGCAGCAAUGGGGAAUGUUGGACAAUGGGCGCAAGCAUGAUCCAGCAAUGCCGCGUGCGGGAAGAAGGCCUUCGGGUUGUAAACAGCUUUUGGCAGGAACGAAACGGUGUCCGCUAAUACCGGGCGCUAAUGACGGUACCUGCAGAAUAAGCACCGGCUAACUACGUG
This 492-nucleotide ribosomal RNA is filed under the name uncultured bacterium. RNAcentral's name for it is "partial 16S ribosomal RNA". It matches the Rfam family "Bacterial small subunit ribosomal RNA", at positions 29 to 507 of the family's 1533-position model. The record is from RNAcentral.